This 443-nucleotide ribosomal RNA is filed under the name bacterium Ellin6041. RNAcentral's name for it is "bacterial SSU rRNA". It matches the Rfam family "Bacterial small subunit ribosomal RNA", at positions 28 to 488 of the family's 1533-position model. The record is from RNAcentral. Lineage: Bacteria; Bacillati; Actinomycetota; Actinomycetes; Micromonosporales; Micromonosporaceae.
GACGAACGCUGGCGGCGUGCUUAACACAUGCAAGUCGAGCGGAAAGGCCCUUCGGGGUACUCGAGCGGCGAACGGGUGAGUAACACGUGAGUAACCUGCCCUAGGCUUUGGGAUAACCCUCGGAAACGGGGGAUAAUACCGAAUAUUCAUGCUGGACGGCAUCGUUUGGUGUGGAAAGUUUUUCGGCUUGGGAUGGGCUCGCGGCCUAUCAGCUUGUUGGUGGGGUGAUGGCCUACCAAGGCGACGACGGGUAGCCGGCCUGAGAGGGCGACCGGCCACACUGGGACUGAGACACGGCCCAGACUCCUACGGGAGGCAGCAGUGGGGAAUAUUGCACAAUGGGCGGAAGCCUGAUGCAGCGACGCCGCGUGAGGGAUGAAGGCCUUCGGGUUGUAAACCUCUUUCAGCAGGGACGAAGCGCAAGUGACGGUACCUGCAGAAGA